Chenopodium quinoa (quinoa) is the source of this 777-nucleotide long non-coding RNA. RefSeq lists it as uncharacterized. The transcript has 4 exons. NCBI's taxonomy places the organism in Eukaryota, Viridiplantae, Streptophyta, Magnoliopsida, Caryophyllales, Amaranthaceae. The record is from RefSeq and is a predicted model, not a curated record.
GAAAACACUAGUGGAAAAACAUAAGUGAGCACCGACGAAUAAGCACCGAUUAUCCAAAACCGAUGCAUGCCAAAAACGCAAGUAUAGAUCCAAAAAAAAAAAAAAAAAAAAAAAAAAGAGGCUUAAAAGGUUACAAAGGGCACCGGUAAACCGAUGCCCUUACUAUGUUAUUACUUCCGUAUUUUUUUCUUAUUACUCCUUCCUAACAUACAGUAGCAUCCCCCCCUCUCUCCCCCCUCACAGCUAGCAUUCCUCUCGCCUCCUUUUUCUUGACUCCACCGCUGGCCCACACUCUAUCUCAUUCUUCUAUCUCCUUAUUCCCUUCUUUCUUUCUUUCACUCUCUCUCCUCACAGCACUGAGGAUGGCUGCCUUGACGAGUCACCAUAAUGAGCAUCAACGAUUGUGAUUCGUUUUUUAAUGAUGAUCGAAGCUCCAUUGUUGAAGAAGGGCAACCACGAAAGAAUUUAGGGAAGCCGACACUCCUCCUGGGGCAUCUUUGGAAGGCCAAGAUAGGUAGUCUAUAUUCAUCCAGUGUCUCAUGACUUGAUUCAGACUUCUAGAACUCUCUCAUCACAAGCUCCACAUACUAAACCUCAGCUCAGAAGUUUCCCUACUAUGAGUCUAUAUGCCCAAUCCUCAUAUCACAAGAUGAACCUGCGCAUAGACAUAAGGGGGAAAAUCUGCCUGCUAAGCGUGUGUCUCUUGCUGAAUUUCCCAAGCUUAGAAAAAAUAUUGAUGCUGCAGCUUUUUUUUUUUUUUUUUUAAAUGUAAAAUUA